Xyrauchen texanus (razorback sucker) is the source of this 414-nucleotide non-coding RNA. NCBI's taxonomy places the organism in Eukaryota, Metazoa, Chordata, Actinopteri, Cypriniformes, Catostomidae. The record is from the annotation of a RefSeq genome assembly.
AUGUGUUCAGUGAUACUCCAUUCAGUUAUUCUGCUCUCUGCCUUAGCAUGUGCCAGUAAUGGAGAUAAUAUUAUGCCAGACAAAACUGAGGAGUUUGCUCUAGAGGGUUCAAAUGUUACAUUAUCCUGUAGUUAUUCCUCAGCAGAUUAUCUUCAAUGGUACCGUCAGUAUCCCAGAUCAGCUCCUGAAUUCCUUGUGGUCAUCACAGAUGGUGUGGAAAAACCUCAGAAGUCUAUUGUAGAUCCUAGAUUCAGUGCAAAACUCACCAAAAAGAAAACCCAAGUGCAUCUGGAAAUCUCCUCUGCUGCAGAAAGAGACUCUGCACUGUACUUCUGUGCCCUGCAGCCCACAGCGACAGGAAACACAACAACGCUGUACAAAAACAUGAUUCUGCUCAGGCUGAGGAAACAAUGA